CUAUAUUAGAAGCAUGGGUAACAACAUGGUAUCAACAUGUCUGUUUAUUGUCAUUUUUUAAUUUGUCAAGGGAAUUUUCGUCAUUUCAAUCAUAUCCUUGCUUCCAUCUUUACUCCACGUGGUAAUGUAGUCAUGGCUUUACUGGGCGUGGCAUUCAUGCCUGCUUCCACCAGCUCCAUCUCAGUGCUCUCAUGAGUCUCAUCUAUCCACUGAUCAAGAGGAAGAUAAAAGCUUCUGCCAUAUUCUCUGAGUGCAACUUCAAUUUUCAGGUAAUUUGACACAUCUCUUUUCAAUUUUUGGCUUUAAUUUCUUAGUUCUUCGCAUGCUUUCACCCAAUUGUCUUUUGGUUUUAAUUUUUCAUCAGAUAUUUUUUUAAUAUAGUUUUAAAAAUAUGGGUUGGUUUAUAUAUAUUGUGAUAAUUUUCUCUGGUUUCAUCUAAUCUCUCAGUUAAUAAUAAUUUCUAUGUUCAAGUUUUAUGUGUUUAUGAUUCUAUGGCUCUAGAGAUUUGUGUAGGCUGCUAUGCACGGGUAGAACACUUUACGUUGUUAUCAUCACAUCUUCUCAACUCUGCUUAUAGUUUCUCGAUAUGUAUCUCCUUCACUUUUUGAUUGUGUGUUCUACUUAGUGAUUGUUGUGCUUUUGUGUCUAAUUGUUUGGGUUGAAGUUCUCUUUUAUGUGUUCACUUGUAAUUCUAUUGAGUUGAAUGUCAGGUGAUACUUUCUGCGUUUAAAGAGAAAAGUAUAUGUAUCGUCCUUCAAUUUUUUUGAUUUUCUAUGUGCAAGAAAUGAAAUCAUAGGGUUUCAGUUUUACUUAUAUUUGCAAAUUGAUUUUUUGGAGUUCUGUGUGAUUUAGGGGAAAAGAAAUUAGAGGUUAUUUAUUAGAUUCAUAAUUUUCGUUAUACUCUCGGUAAAAGUAAGGGAAAACAAGCAUGCUGCUUUUGAAUAUUUCUCAGCUUUUGCUCUAUAGAUGUUUGUAAAAGUUCUCCAAAGAAGCAGCCUCUUUCGAUUUCAAUUUUCUAAUGUAGCUUCUUAAUUUUUUUAAUUAUCUGAUAAUUUGUUGUAAAAUGUCACUGAGUUAAAACAAGGGAGGAGGAGUUGGCUAUGGAUUUUUCCGAGAUAGUUAACCACUUUUUCCACCAUCAAUCUUGGAUUAUUAAAGUAGAUCUUUAUCCUACGGCUAGCAGCUUAUGUCAAACUUUAUACAAAAGAUCGACCAGGUAAAAUGAGAAGUGACAUGGGAAUUAACUACCAUUUUCUCAAUGAGGAUGAGGGGUUUGUGGAUCAUAUAUACAUUCUUCAAGCUCGAACGAAGUGAAAGGACUGAAAAGAAAAAAUAGCCAAACAAGAGUCAUUUUAAAUGGUUAAAGACUAUGCCUUUUUUUUUUUUUUGUCUGUGCAAGUUUACCUGGAAGAUCAGCAGAGUAUGUGAGAUUCAGGGGUCUCUCUUCAGUAAACAUAAACAUUAAUUUUUUACACUAAUCAAGCAUCUGCUUAAAGUAAUACCAAAUAUUCUUUAGCUUUUAAUUCUUAAAAUCUUUUAUAAUUAUCGAUACUAAACUGCUGAUUUUAAGUUCUUUGUAACAACCUUUUACCCGUGUUGUUGUGACUUCUACUCUCAAGUUCUUUUGCUUUCGUGUUCUUACACUUCUGUGAGUUUCUCUUUCAUUUCUGACAGUUUUUCUCAUGCUUAUCAAUUGCGACUACUUGCUUGAUAAUUGUUCACACUUGGUUUCUACAUUUUCUUGCUUUAUAAUUGUUCAUUAUUUACUUUUGAUAUACACUUUACACCAUCUUUUGUUUGCCUACACGAUGUAAAACUGGUCACUGUUUGUACAUGAAAUGUGUUGCUUUCUUUAAGGCCACAAUCUUUCUAUUAUCCAUAAUUCACGCUCUAUACACAUUGCUAUCAUAUUAGGACUUAUAAUUAGUUUAAACUUACAUUUAAAUUUUGGUUUUGUUUCCUUUUCAUUUGGUCUUCUUACCUCUUUAUUUUUUUGACUCUUCUUAUUAGAAUAUCACUGCCCGUGAAACUAUGUUUAAUAAAGCAUAUGUGUGAUACUACUUGAAGCUUAAAUUUUUUUUGCCCCACCUUUGUGUGUGAUAAAAAAUCUCUUUAGACAAGAAUUGGGUUUUGUUAGGUAUUUAGGUAAAAAACUAUUUGAGCCACAAGUGUGGUGAAUUUCUUGAAAGAAAUUACUUUUCGAUCAAACUUCUAGAGUCUUCUUUCAAAGCUUGAGGUUUGUUAGAUUGUGAUUUUAUGGCUAUACAGUUUGUGGAUUCAAGAGUAGUAUACUCUGUUUGACAGAGAACUUUUGAUCCUUAUGGUCCCUCCAUGUCGAGGGGUUAAGACUGAUCCAAGAAAACCUCUACGCACAUAUGCCUAACUUCAUAACUAUUGUUCAUCCAAAAAAUUCUUCUGAUUUGUUACCCCUUAAUAAAGUCUGAUCGUUACUCAGAAACGUCCCAAAUGGAUCAAAAUUCAUAUCACUCUGCUCUGCAAUGCUAAGGUCGAAUUCUGACCACUAAAUAUUGUUGUUGCUUGAAAUCCAGACAAAUCAUGUGUUGAUAAGAACAUGUUUGCAGCUGUGUAAGUACCCAUUUUGGCGUUGCGGGCUGUUCUGUUGAUGUGUCUUGUUAAAAUGGAUUGUAAUGGUUAGUUGGUUCCAUUACUCGUAUUUGAUUACAGUUAUUCAUAUUAGAAAUUGAUUUUAGGCCACUAUUUGAAAACAAUGUCAAUGAAUUCUGAUUAUACAAUUCUUCCAAGUAGGAAGAACUGAAGUUGCUUACAUUGUUAGAAGUAGUAGGCGAUGCUUUUGUUUGUAGGGUUGCUUCGAAAAAAAUAACAUAUUCCAACCACUAUUUGGAUUGUUUCUUAAUAUUGUUCCGGUUUUUGAUUUUCUUGAAAGGCAUUGAAAGAUGGCAAUGGCGAUGACAAUGUGAAAGUGUCGUAGCUGCUAAUGUUGUUAGCAGCAGUAUUAGGCAUGAGUUGUACUGAUUUUGUUUGUGGGGUUGCUUAGAAUUCCAAAUACCAACCAUUUCUUGAAGAAGCCUUACAGCAGGUUGUUACUUCUGAUCUGACUAUCCUGUCUUUUGCUCUCUGUUGUGGUUUGUAUAUUUCUACAUUUGUAUAGUUUUCAGGGUGUGGUAAGUUUUGCUCUUCUACGAUUUUUUCUUAUAAAUUACUUAUGUGUACAUAUUGUAGUUUUACCUAAUUUUUUGUUUGUGACAAGUGACUACAUAUAAGCAUAUAUACACAUUAAUCAAUUUUGCACUCAAUUCAAACUUUCGUAUUCUUUUCAUGCCUUAUUCCUUAAUCCUUAGAAAAUAUCUAGUACAAAAAAUAGAAAAGUUGCAUAGAUGUCUUGUAGGAAUCAUAAAUGAUUAAGAUUGGAAAAAAAACAUGCUAAUAAAAGGGCUAGAAAAUGCGGAUUAUAUAGACUAUUGCCACCUGACAAGAAAAAUCUCCUUAAAUGUGACAAUGAGCAAACAUAGUUGAAUUAAGGUUUUUUCUGUGACAGUGAAACAGAAUUGGGGAUUUUUUAUAAAGAAGAACAAUUAGUAUCUAUGGUUUGAUUCGGAGGGAUAAUAUGUAUCUCUGCAGGAGAACAAUUAUGUUCCAUGUCUCGAAGAACUGGUUGUACGAUAUGGAAGAUUAGCAAAGGAUUAAAUUAGCAUUCUGACUAUAUUGUCAUUUUUAAAUAUUUCACCUAUUAACAUACAAGUUCUCUCAUGUGUCUAUAAGCUUAAGCCUUUGGGUGUUUUUUCAUUACCGUGGCUCUGAAAAUCCACCAUGUAGUUGUAGAAACUCCACGACUUCUUCAGUUUUUAUUCAAUCUUUUAUCUUAAAUUUUCUUUUGUUUUCCUUAAUCUUCUUAGGUGAUGGUAUAUUUUCAGAUUAGCUUCUCUUGAUGUAUUUAUCAAAGCUAUAUGAUCCUGUUUUUCUGAAACGACUUAUGUAAUCUUCUCAAUAUUUUUCGCUUUGUUUUGUUUCACCUUCGUUGUUUCAGUACUGCUAUCAUAUUAUCUCCAUCAACAAUACAACAAAGCGGAAAUAUACUUGAUAGUUUUCUGUUUAAGAAUAAAUAGUUGAUCACCUACACUGAAAAUAGCAAUAGCAAUAGCAAAUGCAUUUGCUGAUAGAAUAGAUUGAUACAAAAUUUAUAUAUGUAAACCGUUAAUUCGCUCGUAUGUUUAUAUCUUGGGUUGAAAUAACUUUGUGGCAUUUAAGUCUUUCUAAUAUGAAGGGAGGAUAUCACAAAUCAAAUACAUGCAUUAUAAUCUUUUGUUACAGUUGACAGAUAUAAUUUUUAUCGCAAAUUAUAGUGUGAAGUCUUAUUCACACACUCUUUUUUCUCUAAUUUCAAUUACUACAUCAUUAUUGAGCUCACUAACUAUUAUAAUUGAACCAGUAAGAUUUGUAUGAGAGGUGAAAUUGAUAUGAUGCACGAUGUCGUUAUAGAGGUUGUAUAAGUGUUUAUAUUGAUCUUAAGCUCGAUUUAUUUGUAGAUUUCAUUGGAUACAUAAAAUUUAUUGAACAUCAUUGUAAUUAUUUCUUGUCACAAUGUCGUCGUUGCCGUGGAUCUUCUAUUUGAAGCUCAAAUUUGAUUCUGAUUUACUUUUCAAUUUGAUUAUUCUUAAAUUUUCUUUUCCCCCAAGCUAAUGUUAUAUUCUUUGUUG
Molecule: RNA transcript, 4676 nt
Organism: Solanum tuberosum (potato)
Lineage: Eukaryota; Viridiplantae; Streptophyta; Magnoliopsida; Solanales; Solanaceae
Exons: 2
Source: RefSeq, a predicted model, not a curated record